AAUAUGGGAGUAUAUACUAUGCAAAGAUCAUUCUUCACAGAGUUUUUGUCUCUUCCUAUGAGAGUUAAAAAACUUAUGAAGAACGAAAUAGAAGAGCUCCCAACCUUUCGGAUUAGAGCUCAAACGAAAACCUUCUCUUUUGAUCAUGGUUGAUUUUAACAAGAGUUUAGUAUAUUUUGUAUUUAGUAUUCUAAUGUCUAACAGAAUUUACAUUGUAAAUGAUUUGUCCUUGACAAAUUUCAUAUGUGGUUAUUUCAUUCCUAAUAGUAGGGGACAUUUCUUGUACAAAGAGGAAAUCUACAUCCUCCAUGUAACUCAAGGGGGCUUGGACAAAUAUCCACCCUCUUCUUUUGUAAGUGUGAUCUUUUGAAGCAA
This 375-nucleotide long non-coding RNA is filed under the name Solanum tuberosum (potato). RNAcentral describes it as "long non-coding RNA (STUB_LNC010501)". Lineage: Eukaryota; Viridiplantae; Streptophyta; Magnoliopsida; Solanales; Solanaceae. The record is from RNAcentral.